GAUGAACGCUGGCGGCGUGCCUAAUACAUGCAAGUCGAGCGAACGGACGAGAAGCUUGCUUCUCUGAUGUUAGCGGCGGACGGGUGAGUAACACGUGGAUAACCUACCUAUAAGACUGGGAUAACUUCGGGAAACCGGAGCUAAUACCGGAUAAUAUUUUGAACCGCAUGGUUCAAAAGUGAAAGACGGUCUUGCUGUCACUUAUAGAUGGAUCCGCGCUGCAUUAGCUAGUUGGUAAGGUAACGGCUUACCAAGGCAACGAUGCAUAGCCGACCUGAGAGGGUGAUCGGCCACACUGGAACUGAGACACGGUCCCGACUCCUACGGGAGGCAGCAGUAGGGAAUCUUCCGCAAUGGGCGAAAGCCUGACGGAGCAACGCCGCGUGAGUCAUGAAGGUCUUCGGAUCGUAAAACUCUGUUAUUAGGGAAGAACAUAUGUGUAAGUAACUGUGCACAUCUUGACGGUACCUAAUCAGAAAGCCACGGCUAACUACGUG
This 497-nucleotide ribosomal RNA is filed under the name uncultured bacterium. Its description in RNAcentral is "partial 16S ribosomal RNA". It matches the Rfam family "Bacterial small subunit ribosomal RNA", at positions 28 to 507 of the family's 1533-position model. The record is from RNAcentral.